CCCGUCCCUGUUCAAACCUCACAAACCCACCGUGAACCUUCACGGCAGAAGGGAGGAGACUCCCGGACGCCGCAUACCAAAACCCCAGUUUUAAAGAAUGUCGUGCGGACUUGCGCCGCCUAAAACACAAAACAACUUUCAACAACGGAUCUCUUGGCUCUCGCAUCGAUGAAGAACGCAGCGAAAUGCGAUAAGUAAUGUGAAUUGCAAAAUUCAGUGAAUCAUCGAAUCUUUGAACGCACCUUGCGCUCCUUGGUAUUCCGAGGAGCAUGCCUGUUUGAGUGUCUUGAAGUCAUCAACCCCUUCCGUUUCGUGCGGAGAGGGUUGGAAGUGGGGGCUCUGCUGCCGUGAGGCGGCUCCCCUCAAAUGCAUCGGUUGGGCCUGUGGGUCGAACUCGACUGGGCGUUGUACCAUCCUCGCUUUACAGAGUCCGUUCCCCUUUCCGUGCCCUCCCCCGACCUGCCUGCUAGAGUGGCGGUCAAGCAACAAACUUUGAAAUCUGACCUCAAAUCAGGUAGGACUACCCGCUGAACUUAAGCAUAUCAAUGAGCGGAGGAAAAGAAACUAACAAGGAUUCCCCUAGUAACUGCGAGUGAAGCGGGAAAAGCUCAAAUUUGAAAUCUGGCGGCUCCGUCGCCCGAGUUGUAUUCUGGAGAAGCGUCUUCCGCGC
Molecule: ribosomal RNA, 670 nt
Filed under: uncultured fungus
Lineage: Eukaryota; Fungi
Description: eukaryotic LSU rRNA
Rfam family: 5.8S ribosomal RNA (bases 134-287)
Source: RNAcentral